ACGGGUUUAAGUUUACUUAAACUGUCAGCUAAGUGGCGCACGGGUGAGUAAUAUAUAGUUAAUCUGCCCCAAAGAAGAGGAUAAUUGUUGGAAACGACUUGUAACACUCUAUAUGCCUUUAUUACAUAAGUAAGCAAGGGAAACAUUUAUGGCUUUGGGAUGAGACUGUACGGUAUCAGCUUGUUGGUGAGGUAAUGGCUCACCAAGGCAAUGACGCCUAACUGGUUUGAGAGGAUGAUCAGUCACACUGGAACUGAGACACGGUCCAGACUCCUACGGGAGGCAGCAGUGGGGAAUAUUGCACAAUGGAGGAAACUCUGAUGCAGCAACGCCGCGUGGAGGAUGACACAUUUCGGUGCGUAAACUCCUUUUAUAUGAGAAGAUAAUGACGGUAUCAUAUGAAUAAGCACCGGCUAACUUCGUGCCAGCAGCCGCGGUAAUACGAGGGGUGCAAGCGUUACUCGGAAUCACUGGGCGUAAAGAGCAUGUAGGCGGGUAGUUAAGUUGGAAGUGAAAUCCUAUGGCCCAACCAUAGAACUGCUUCCAAAACUGAUUACCUAGAGUAUGGGAGAGGUAGAUGGAAUUUCUGGUGUAGGGGUAAAAUCCGUAGA
This 611-nucleotide ribosomal RNA is filed under the name uncultured bacterium. Its description in RNAcentral is "bacterial SSU rRNA". It matches the Rfam family "Bacterial small subunit ribosomal RNA", at positions 66 to 694 of the family's 1533-position model. The record is from RNAcentral.